AGUGAACGCUGGCGGCAGGCCUAACACAUGCAAGUCGAACGGCAGCACAAGAGAGCUUGCUCUCUGGGUGGCGAGUGGCGGACGGGUGAGGAAUGCAUCGGAAUCUGCCCAUUUGUGGGGGAUAACCUCGGGAAACCGGGACUAAUACCGCAUACGACCUACGGGUGAAAGCAGGGGAUCUUCGGACCUUGCGCAGAUGGAUGAGCCGAUGCCGGAUUAGCUAGUUGGAGGGGUAAAGGCCCACCAAGGCGACGAUCCGUAGCUGGUCUGAGAGGAUGAUAGGCCAACCUGGGACUGAGCCCCGGCCCAGACUCUACGGGGAGGAAGAGGUGGGAAUUUUUGAACAAGGGGGGAAAGCUUGUGCCAGCAAUGCGGGGGGAGUGAAGAAGCCCUCCGGGUUGUAAAGCACUUUUGUUGGGAAAGAAAAGCAGCCGGUUAAUCCUCGGUUGUCAGGCCGUUACCCAAAGAAUAAGCACCGGCUAACCCCGU
This 489-nucleotide ribosomal RNA is filed under the name uncultured bacterium. Its description in RNAcentral is "partial 16S ribosomal RNA". It matches the Rfam family "Bacterial small subunit ribosomal RNA", at positions 29 to 506 of the family's 1533-position model. The record is from RNAcentral.